AUUGAACGCUGGCGGCAUGCCUUACACAUGCAAGUCGAACGGUAGCAGGGCUGCUUGUGCCUGGUGGCGGCUGGCGGACGGGUGAUAAAUACAUCGGAACACGUCCGGGGGGGGGGGAUAGCCGGGCGAAAGCCUGAUUAAUCCCGCAUACGAUGGACGGAAGAAAGGGGGGGACCGGCCGGCCGCGCGCGGAGGGGUCGGCGGAUGGCUGAUUAGCUAGUUGGUGGGAUAAAGGCCUACCAAGGCGACGAUCGGUAGCUGGUCUGAGAGGACGACCAGCCACACUGGGACUGAGACACGGCCCAGACUCCUACGGGAGGCAGCAGUGGGGAAUUUUGGACAAUGGGCGAAAGCCUGAUCCAGCAAUGCCGCGUGUGUGAUGAAGGCCUUCGGGUUGUAAAGCACUUUUGUCCGGAACGAAAAGCUUGGCCCUAAUACGGUCGGGGGAUGACGGUACCGGAAGAAUAAGCACCGGCUAACUACGUG
RNAcentral lists this ribosomal RNA (486 nucleotides) under uncultured bacterium. Its description in RNAcentral is "partial 16S ribosomal RNA". It matches the Rfam family "Bacterial small subunit ribosomal RNA", at positions 29 to 507 of the family's 1533-position model. The record is from RNAcentral.